GCUUAGCCCUAACCCUAGAUAAUUAACCAAACAAAAUUAUCCGCCAGAGAACUACUAGCAACAGCUUAAAACUCAAAGGACUUGGCGGUGCUUCACACCCCCC
RNAcentral lists this ribosomal RNA (103 nucleotides) under Cryptoprocta ferox (fossa). RNAcentral describes it as "partial 12S ribosomal RNA". Lineage: Eukaryota; Metazoa; Chordata; Mammalia; Carnivora; Eupleridae. The record is from RNAcentral.